This is a non-coding RNA of Callithrix jacchus (white-tufted-ear marmoset), 2685 nucleotides long. NCBI's taxonomy places the organism in Eukaryota, Metazoa, Chordata, Mammalia, Primates, Cebidae. The record is from RefSeq and is a predicted model, not a curated record.
GAGUCUGGGGCUCUGGUCGAAAGGGGAAGAAACAGGGGUGCUGGGAGCUGCCCCCCUGCUCCCUCCCUUGGAGGCACGGGGGGGGCGCCUUGGUGAAUGGCUUUCUUGCUGGCCACUUGCGGAGUGAGUAGACCCGGAGUAUCUGGGAGAGGGGCCGGCCCCCACCCCUGAGUCCCUGGGGCCAGGCCGGGGCGCAAAUGUCUUGCUCACACUGCCUCCUUCCCGUGGCUCCCUGGGGGUUUGGAUUCAGGAUUUAUUCCUAGUGCCCUAGACUUUGACAAAAAACUUACAGAAGCUGAUGCUUACCUUCAAAUCUUGAUUGAACAAUUAAAACUUUUUGAUGACAAGCUUCAAAACUGCAAAGAAGAUGAACAAAGAAAGAAAAUUGAAAUGCUCAAAGAGACAACGAACAGCAUGGUAGAAUCAAUUAAACACUGAGUUGUGUUGCUGCAGAUUGCUAAAAGUACUAUUAAUCCUGUAGAUGCAAUAUAUCAACCUAGUCCUUUGGAACCUGUGGUCAGCACAAUGCCUUCCCAGACUGUAUUAUCUCCAGAACCUGUUCAGUUGUGUAAGUCAGAGCAAUGUCCAUCUUCCCUACCAGUUGGACCUAUGUUGGCUACCUUGGUACAUCAUCAGACUCCUACACCAAAUAGUACAGGCAGUGGCCAUUCACCACCAAGUAGCAGUCUAACUUCUCCAAGCCAUGUGAACUUGUCUCCAAAUACAGUCCCAGAGUUCUCUUACUCUAGCAGUGAAGAUGAAUUUUAUGAUGCCAACAAAUUCCAUCAAAGUGGCUCAUCCCCAAAGCGCUUAAUAGAUUCUUCUGGAUCUGCCUCAGUCCUGACACACAGCAGCUCAGGAAAUAGUCUAAAACACCCAGAUACCACAGAAUCACUUAAUUCUUCCAUGUCCAAUGGAACAACCUUUUCGAUUCACAUGACGAUAGAGAUGAUGAUGCGGAGGCAGGGUCCGUGGAGGAGCACAAGAGCGUUAUUAGGUAUCUCUUAUCACAGGUUAGGCUUGGGAUAGAUCUUACUAAGGUAGUUCUUCCAACAUUUCUUCUUGAAAGAAGAUCUCUUUUAGAAAUGUAUGCAGACUUUUUUGCACAUUCGGACCGGUUUGUGAGCAUUAGUGACCACAAGUAUCCCAAGGAUCGAAUGGUUCAGGUUGUGAAAUGGUACCUCUCAGCCUUUCAUGCAGGAAGGAAAGGAUCAGUUGCCAAAAAGCCAUACAAUCCCAUUUUGGGCGAGAUCUUUCAGUGUCAUUGGAUAUUACCAAAUGAUACAGAAGAGAACACAGAACUAGUUUCAGAAGGACCAGUUCCCUGGGUUUCCAAAAACAGUGUAACAUUCGUGGCUGAGCAGGUUUCCCAUCAUCCACCCAUUUCAGCCUUUUAUGCUGAGUGUUUUAACAAGAAGAUACAAUUCAAUGCUCAUAUCUGAACCAAAUCAAAAUUCCUUGGGAUGUCAAUUGGGGUGCACAACAUAGGGCAGGGCUGUGUCUCAUGUCUUGACUAUGAUGAACAUUACAUUCUCACAUUCCCCAAUGGCUAUGGAAGGUCUAUCCUCACAGUGCCCUGGGUGGAAUUAGGAGGAGAAUGCAAUAUUAAUUGUUCCAAAACAGGCUAUAGUGUAAAUAUCUUCCACACUAAACCCUUCUAUGGGGGCAAGAAGCACAGAAUUACUGCUGAGAUUUUUUCUCCAAAUGACAAUAAGUCUUUUUGCUCAAUUGAAGGGGAAUGGAGUGGUGUGAUGUAGGCAAAAUAUGCAACAGGGGAAAAUACAGUCUUUGUAGAUACCAAGAAGUUGCCUAUAAUCAAGAAGAAAGUGAGGAAGUUGGAAGAUCAGAACGAGUAUGAAUCCCGCAGCCUUUGGAAGGAUGUCACUUUCAACUUAAAAAUCAGAGACAUUGAUGCAGCAACUGAAGCAAAGCACAGGCUUGAAGAAAGACAAAGAGCAGAAGCCCGAGAAAGGAAGGAAAAGGAAAUUCAGUGGGAGACAAGGUUAUUUCAUGAAGAUGGAGAAUGUUGGGUUUAUGAUGAACCAUUACUGAAACGUCUUGGUGCUGCCAUGCAUUAGGUUGGAAGAUGCGAAGUUUAUACCUGAUGAUCAGGGAAGGAGGCAUAAUUCAGCAAGAAAUAAUCUUCCUUUGGGAGAAACCUGUUUACUCCCUUCUUAUUACAGUGGUUCCUAUCUCAGGGAUACUGGACUUUCUGACACAGAUGAACAAUUAAAGUGGGAAAAGGUUCUCUUUUCCCUCUGUGGCAGUUAUGAUUUUGACUUCGGUCCUGAGAAAAACUUCAGGUUUUGAAAACAAGGUGAUGUCUGCUCCUUUUCCAAACCUCACAUGUUUAAAAGCAUUUAUAAAUCCAUGUCUGAAACGCCACACUCUAGUACUGCUGUUAAGAUAGUUCUUAGUUCAUAUAAUCUUGGGAUACAUGCACACACAUCUGUAUACACACCACAUACAAGCACACAUAUGUACACACACACACACACACACAUAUUAAAAUAUACCUGAUGCCAGAUUUUUUAAAUACUCUGCCUGCUGUAAAUAUGGGUUCCUCUGAGUUGUUUUAGAAAAUUAGCACAAUGUAUUAAAAUCAAGUGUUAGGAAAUUUCAUGAUCUUACCUACAAUAACUUUUAUUUUUGAACUGAACUAUUAUUAAAUUGUAUCUAAUCCUG